UACGGAGGGUGCGAGCGUUGUUCGGAAUCACUGGGCGUAAAGCGCGUGUAGGCGGCCUCUUAAGUCUGGUGUGAAAGCCCGGGGCUCACCCCCGGAAGUGCACUGGAAACUGGGUGGCUGGAGUACCGGAGAGGAGGGUGGAAUUCCUGGUGUAGCGGUGAAAUGCGUAGAUAUCAGGAGGAACACCGGUGGCGAAGGCGGCCCUCUGGACGGAUACUGACGCUGAGACGCGAAAGCGUGGGGAGCAAACAGG
Molecule: ribosomal RNA, 253 nt
Filed under: uncultured bacterium
Lineage: Bacteria
Description: partial 16S ribosomal RNA
Rfam family: Bacterial small subunit ribosomal RNA
Source: RNAcentral